CUAAUUCUCUUAAUACAGACGUAAAGGGGUUUUCUAGCCUAGCAAGUAAACGCUGGAGUCAAAUAGCACAGCAAGAAAAUCGUUGCUCAUGGUGGGCUCUUCUACGAAUUCUUCAAAAUGGAAGACUGAACAGCUGAAGAAGAUAACAUCUAAGAAUAUUGUUCUAAAGCCAAAAGAUGGAGGGGUUAAGAAGAAGCCACUAUUAAAGGAUGAAUGCCUUUUUUGUCAUAAAAGGGGACACUGGAAGAGAGACUGUCCAGAACUCAUGACAUAAAGUGCAACGAGUGGGAGCUUAGAGUCUAAGUGACAGCCAAAAAGUAAAGUCGGACGAAGUGGACCCACGCAUUAAAAAUGGAGCAAGAGUAGUUGUAAUAAACUAAUAAUGUUGUGUAUCAUACAACAUGAAUUCCUA
Molecule: long non-coding RNA, 412 nt
Organism: Salvia hispanica
Lineage: Eukaryota; Viridiplantae; Streptophyta; Magnoliopsida; Lamiales; Lamiaceae
Source: RefSeq, a predicted model, not a curated record